Small nucleolar RNA from Ictidomys tridecemlineatus (thirteen-lined ground squirrel), 93 nucleotides. The record is from Ensembl. Lineage: Eukaryota; Metazoa; Chordata; Mammalia; Rodentia; Sciuridae.
UUAUUCCCAUGAUGUCUAGCUCUGAACUCUCUGAUCAUCCCUGAGGACAUAGUGAUCCAUAGGACCUUUGACAACUGGGGGUCUGAGGGACCC